RNAcentral lists this ribosomal RNA (612 nucleotides) under uncultured bacterium. Its description in RNAcentral is "bacterial SSU rRNA". It matches the Rfam family "Bacterial small subunit ribosomal RNA", at positions 202 to 832 of the family's 1533-position model. The record is from RNAcentral.
CAAAGGAGCAAUCCGCUGAAAGAUGGGCUCGCGUCCGAUUAGGUAGUUGGCGGGGCAACGGCCCACCAAACCGACGAUCGGUAGCCGGACUGAGAGGCUGAACGCCCACAUUGGGACUGAGACACGGCCCAGACUCCUACGGGAGGCAGCAGUGAGGGAUAUUGGUCAAUGGGGGAAACCCUGAACCAGCAACGCCGCGUGAGGGAAGACGGUUUUCGGAUUGUAAACCUCUGUCCUCUGUGAAGAUGAUGACGGUAGCAGAGGAGGAAGCUCCGGCUAACUACGUGCCAGCAGCCGCGGUAAUACGUAGGGAGCAAGCGUUGUCCGGAUUUACUGGGUGUAAAGGGUGCGUAGGCGGCUUUGCAAGUCAGAAGUGAAAUCCAUGGGCUUAACCCAUGAACUGCUUUUGAAACUGCAGAGCUUGAGUGGAGUAGAGGUAGGCGGAAUUCCCGGUGUAGCGGUGAAAUGCGUAGAGAUCGGGAGGAACACCAGUGGCGAAGGCGGCCUGCUGGGCUCUAACUGACGCUGAGGCACGAAAGCGUGGGUAGCAAACAGGAUUAGAUACCCUGGUAGUCCACGCUGUAAACGAUGAUUACUAGGUGUGGGUGGACU